GUGGGGAAUUUUGGACAAUGGGCGCAAGCCUGAUCCAGCAAUGCCGCGUGCAGGAAGAAGGCCUUCGGGUUGUAAACUGCUUUUGUACGGAACGAAACGGUCCUGGUUAAUACCUGGGGCUAAUGACGGUACCGUAAGAAUAAGCACCGGCUAACGACGUGCCAGCAGCCGAGGUAAUACGUAGGGUGCGAGCGUUAAUCGGAAUUACUGGGCGUAAAGCGUGCGCAGGCGGUGCUGUAAGACAGGCGUGAAAUCCCCGGGCUCAACCUGGGAAUUGCGCUUGUGACUGCAGUGCUGGAGUACGGCAGAGGGGGAUGGAAUUCCGCGUGUAGCAGUGAAAUGCGUAGAUAUGCGGAGGAACACCGAUGGCGAAGGCAGUCCCCUGGGCCUGUACUGACGCUCAUGCACGAAAGCGUGGGGAGCAAACAGGAUUAGAUACCCUUGUAGUCC
RNAcentral lists this ribosomal RNA (450 nucleotides) under uncultured bacterium. RNAcentral describes it as "partial 16S ribosomal RNA". It matches the Rfam family "Bacterial small subunit ribosomal RNA", at positions 354 to 796 of the family's 1533-position model. The record is from RNAcentral.